This 1283-nucleotide long non-coding RNA is filed under the name Apteryx owenii (little spotted kiwi). Its description in RNAcentral is "lncRNA (ENSAOWG00000019172.1)". The record is from RNAcentral. Lineage: Eukaryota; Metazoa; Chordata; Aves; Apterygiformes; Apterygidae.
CUGAAAUCCCUCAGGAUUUUGUCAAUGGCACUGUUGGCCAGUCCGUGCUCCUACCUGUCUCCUACAAAUUUAUGAAUCCCUCUCACUUCCCACUGCCAUUUGAAUGGACAUUCCAUAACCGCUCUGAGCCAAUUGCCUCCUGCACGGUGAUGAACUGCUCCCUGAGUGCUGAGGGGGCUCCCAAGAACUGCUCUGAAAACCAUUUCACACAUGCCGCAUACCAAGGUCGUGCUGUGCUUUUCGCUGAGAACGCAUCCCUGCUGCUCCGGGACCUGCAGCUCAGUGACAGCGGGGUGUACAACAUCACCUUCAAACAGCAGCUYCAAACCAGGCAGAUCACCUUAACUGUGUACAACCCUCAUUUCAGCCUUAAAAAUCCAGACCGUAAUGACCCAAAAAAGGAUAUUUCAAGCCAGAUCUCUGCCUACGUAAUUGGAGUUUCUUCUUGUCUAAUGUCCUUCCUUCUGCUACUCCUGGUCUUCUGCUGUGUAAGGCACCUGGGUGCAGUUCAACAGAAGAAAACGAGAAUCAUUAGACAACAAGAGGUCUCAAAUGCUGAGUCGUCUCCCAUGGAAAGUACCAUGAUGAGGGAUGGAGCAACUAUUUAUGCCAGAGUUGGAGACAGCUUUGAACAGCCACAGCCGAGAACAACACCAGAAGUUGUGUACAUGUCCGUAACCUUCUCUGAUCCAUCAGGACCGGAUUGCCCACUGUCGUCUUGUGCAGCGACUGUGGAUCUGCCUCAAGAGGGAGUCUUGAACUUUGCUAAAUAUAGUCCUGUUUCAAAGUGAAGAGGAUAUUUUUGUCACUGACUCUCUCUGCUGAUGUGACCCUCAGUGCUCUUACUCCAGCAGCUCUUAGUCUGCACACUGAGUGCAGGCUGUAGAGGAUUUGGAGCUACCGAGUAUGGAAAUGCCUUAGUUUGCCUCGAUUUGCAGUCUCUCUUGAAUUUGAGGAAUGAGUUGGUUUUAGUUUCUUCUUGAUACUUCCCGAGAGUACAAAGACACACAGCGUAAGAGAAAGAUUCAUAAGGCAAAAGCAGAUCAACAAUUUGGUCCAUGGGAACCUUACUUCCAUAGACUCACCUUAACUGGAGGGGUAACAGACAACAGUAAAUGGAUCUUAAUCAUGUGUCCCAGGUUCACUGCCAACGGUCUUGUCAUAUUAAAAGAAUAGAUGAAGAUUAUUUGGACUGAAAAGUUGUCCUUAUUUUUUGGAGCGUUCCAAGUAAUUGUGGUGUGUAUUCUUCCUGCAAUGAGAUUAGCUUAACCUUAGGAUCCCAG